Molecule: ribosomal RNA, 120 nt
Filed under: Castor canadensis (American beaver)
Lineage: Eukaryota; Metazoa; Chordata; Mammalia; Rodentia; Castoridae
Source: RNAcentral
GUCUAUGGCCACACCACCCUGAACGUGCCCAAUCUCGUCUGAUCUCGGAAGCUAAGCAGUGUCAGGCCUGGUUAGUGCUUGGAGGGGAGACAGAUCUUCAGAAAAGACUGGUCAGAGACA